Molecule: ribosomal RNA, 404 nt
Filed under: uncultured bacterium
Lineage: Bacteria
Description: bacterial SSU rRNA
Rfam family: Bacterial small subunit ribosomal RNA
Source: RNAcentral
UGGGGAAUAUUGGACAAUGGGCGCAAGCCUGAUCCAGCCAUGCCGCGUGAGUGAUGAAGGUCUUAGGAUUGUAAAGCUCUUUCACCGAUGAAGAUAAUGACGGUAGUCGGAGAAGAAGCCCCGGCUAACUUCGUGCCAGCAGCCGCGGUAAUACGAAGGGGGCUAGCGUUGUUCGGAAUUACUGGGCGUAAAGCGCACGUAGGCGGAUAUUUAAGUCAGGGGUGAAAUCCCGCAGCUCAACUGCGGAACUGCCUUUGAUACUGGGUAUCUUGAGUAUGGAAGAGGUUAGUGGAAUUGCGAGUGUAGAGGUGAAAUUCGUAGAUAUUCGCAGGAACACCAGUGGCGAAGGCGGCUGACUGGUCCAUUACUGACGCUGAGGUGCGAAAGCGUGGGGAGCAAACAGG